CCUACGGGAGGCAGCAGUGAGGAAUAUUGGUCAAUGGACGAGAGUCUGAACCAGCCAAGUAGCGUGAAGGAUGACUGCCCUAUGGGUUGUAAACUUCUUUUAUAAAGGAAUAAAACGAGGCACGUGUGCCUUUUUGCAUGUACUUUAUGAAUAAGGAUCGGCUAACUCCGUGCCAGCAGCCGCGGUAAUACGGAGGAUCCGAGCGUUAUCCGGAUUUAUUGGGUUUAAAGGGAGCGUAGAGGGUUUGUUAAGUCAGUUGUGAAAGUUUGCGGCUCAAACGUAAAAUUGCAAUUGAUACUGGCAGUCUAGAGUACAGUUGAGGUAGGCGGAAUUCGUGGUGUAGCGGUGAAAUGCUUAGAUAUCACGAAGAACCCCGAUUGCGAAGGCAGCUUACUAAACUGUGACUGACAUUGAUGCUCGAAAGUGUGGGUAUCAAACAGGAUUAGAUACCCGAGUAGUC
Molecule: ribosomal RNA, 460 nt
Filed under: uncultured bacterium
Lineage: Bacteria
Description: partial 16S ribosomal RNA
Rfam family: Bacterial small subunit ribosomal RNA
Source: RNAcentral